Molecule: long non-coding RNA, 661 nt
Organism: Malania oleifera
Lineage: Eukaryota; Viridiplantae; Streptophyta; Magnoliopsida; Santalales; Ximeniaceae
Exons: 2
Source: RefSeq, a predicted model, not a curated record
UACAAUGCAUAUCUGCAAGAACUCUGUAUGGUGAAGCCGACAGGCUCCAAUAAAAAAAUCUGUUCAUUGAAGCUCCAGCUUUUAGAUUGGUAUGCGUCUUCGAAUGCACGUUGGAUGCUGUCACUUUACGGGGAAAAGCACUAAAGUUGGGGAUCCUCUCGCUUCCUAACAAAUGACAAAUGAACAUAUUUAUAUAUAUGUUGGGAUCCUGCCUCAAAGAGUAUAGGCAUCAAUGCAACUAGUACUCUUUUCCUAGCUAACUAAUGGGUUAUAUAUAAGCGUGCAUUUUGUCUGUGAUUGACAGUUGCAGUUCAUUAAUUAAGAGUUUGGCAGUGGUGACUGGUGUGGGACAGUUCUUAAAUCAGCCCUAAGUUCGACGACACCACGGCUUGGAACUUGUUUUCACUGGCCACAAAGCAAACCUUUUGAGCCAAGAAAGGUGUUGCCAAGCCACUCCAUCCCCUUCAAAAUGCUGAUCGCUUAGCCUUUGGGAUCAUAUGUUAGCUGGUCCAAGCUUGUCAUAAAUCAAGAGGUCCGACGCCUUUGGGAGAGUGCAUGAUAAGAUAAUGUGUUACUGUAUUUAACAGAAUCACUGUCUAUUAUUUAGCCUCUGUGCGGUCAAUUAGUUGGUGGUAUCUAAAUUAAACCUAAAUUUUUAAAA